RNAcentral lists this microRNA precursor (84 nucleotides) under Bombyx mori (domestic silkworm). RNAcentral's name for it is "mir-2807 microRNA precursor family". It matches the Rfam family "mir-2807 microRNA precursor family". Lineage: Eukaryota; Metazoa; Arthropoda; Insecta; Lepidoptera; Bombycidae. The record is from Rfam by way of RNAcentral.
UAAAAGUUAACUCAUAUUUGUAUGGAACGUUCGCGUACGUUUGCCGCUAGGGGCGCUGUUCCAACUGCAUACAAAAUUGGGUAA